CGGAGUUAGUGGCGGACGGGUGAGUAACACGUGGGAACGUGCCUUUUGGUUCGGAACAACACGGGGAAACCUGUGCUAAUACCGGAUAAGUCCUAACGGAGAAAGUUUUAAUGCCAAAAGAUGAGCCCGCAUUUGAUUAGCUAGUUGGUAAGGUAAAAGCUUACCAAGGCGACAAUCAAUAGCUGAUUUGAGAGGAUGAUCAGCCACACUGGGACUGAGACACGGUCCAGACUCC
This 235-nucleotide ribosomal RNA is filed under the name uncultured bacterium. Its description in RNAcentral is "partial 16S ribosomal RNA". It matches the Rfam family "Bacterial small subunit ribosomal RNA", at positions 87 to 339 of the family's 1533-position model. The record is from RNAcentral.